RNAcentral lists this ribosomal RNA (437 nucleotides) under uncultured bacterium. RNAcentral describes it as "SSU rRNA". It matches the Rfam family "Bacterial small subunit ribosomal RNA", at positions 26 to 518 of the family's 1533-position model. The record is from RNAcentral.
AGAAUGAACGCUAGCGAUAUGCUUAACACAUGCAAGUUGAACGUUGUUUUCGAAUCAGAAUGAGAACAAAGUAGCGAACGGGUGCGUAACACGUGGGAAUCUGCCGAACAGUUUGGGCCAAAUCCCGAAUGAAUAAAAGCUAAAAAGCGCUGUUUGAUGAGCCCACGUAGUAUUAGGUAGUUGGUUAGGUAAAAGCUGACCAAGCCUACGAUGCUUAGCUGGUCUUUUCGGAUGAUCAGCCACACUGGGACUGAGACACGGCCCAGACUCCUACGGGAGGCAGCAGUGGGGAAUCUUGGACAAUGGGCGAAAGCCUGAUCCGGCAAUAUGGCGUGAGUGGAAGAAGGGCAAACGCAGCUUGUAAAGCUCUUUCAUCGAGUGUGCGAUUGUGACAAGACUCGAAUAAGAAGCCCGGCUAACUCCGCGCCAGCAGCCGC